CCUUAUUUUUUCUGCUUUGUCGCAGCUCUGUUCAGCAGCUUUGUUUCCAUCAAGCGGUUCAGUCAACCCUGAAAACGAAGCCAAAAAAGCUGCUGAAGUUUUGUGAACAGGCAGAGGGGCUGACUCUGAACUACAUCGUCUGUAUUCUUCUGUUCGCUUGGCUAGUUUUUCGCCUGAUUGUGGCUUGAAAUUCAGACACCGGUGUUGUGUCGAAGUCUGUCCCCCCUUUCAGUUUUUAACCCUCCGCGGUUGGGCAGUAGAGGGUAGGUUAAACUGGGAGUAAUUCAGGCGUAACAGAGAUAAUUUAGGUGUUAGCUAGGGUUAGGCUGGUCACUUUUUGGGGUUAGGAAUAAGGUUCAAGUUCAGGUAAGAGGAACACCGGUUCGUAUCGUACCAUUUUGGCUGAACCACAUCGUCAGAAGUGUUGAGUUCCGCUGAGCCUUUGAAUUAAUCACCUUCAAACAGAGAAAACGGGAUUACUUUGCCUCUUCGGGGAAGUCUGCGCGAUCUACCAAAGCGGAUAUUUGGAGUAUUAAUUGGAUCCAUCGAUCAUAAAGUGGAUGGCAGGAAGUGCUACAGCCUGGACUGACCUUCAUUUACAGCCUCACUCAAACGUUUUGUUUGUUUCCCACUAGAGGCUAUGGUGGGUGGACAUCAACCGUCUGGGUGGAUCCGGGCCGGGCCAUGCCCCCUCGGAAGAAAAAUUUGUGCAUUUUAAAGUUAAGUACAUUAAUUUGGUGCACUUUAAAAGCAAAAUAAAGAGGCUACAUCUGUGAAGAACUUUGCACUCUUGUUAACAAUUUUGUGGCCUAGUAAACAAUUUGAUAAUAAACACACUGUGUAGAUAUAAAUGGUGACAGCAAAAAAGUAAACUGAUUUAUUUAAUGUUUUUCCAGCAACCCUAAAUCAAAGAAUAAUUUGUAAGUAAUUUCCAUAACAUUUUAAUGGACACAUGUAACAUGUUUUGUACUUCCUGAAAAUAUAAACCAAUUCAUCUUAUUUUCCAUACUGUAUACGUUAACCUUAUUUUGAAAAACGAACAUAGUCUCGUUAAUUAAUGGGAAACACUGCAUCAUUUGUUGUGUGAUGAUGUGAAUAUAUAAGAGACCACUUGAGUUUGAAUUAUCGGCUGAACCUCACUUGAGUGGAUUGGUCUUAAUGCAUCAGUCAUGUUUCAUGUCCCUAUAGCCCUGGAAACCCAUUCAAAAUAGACUACAGGGUUUGAAGAUACAUUUGGAUAUAGGGUAUUGGCCUGUUUUAGGUGCCUGAUGUGUAUGUGUUUAUCUACAGUUGAAGAGAGAUGACACGGUCUUAUAAUCUAAAGGUCUUAAAGAGGUCAAGCUGCAAUACCAAAACCCUGAGCUGGGCUUGACUCAGUCUUCUUUGGGUUAAUAGUGAAAGAUGGUGAGAAAUAGAGAGAUGAGAUGUGGAUGAAUACAGGAGAAACAGAAAGAUAGAAAGUUGUAGAGAAACGGAAGGUGUGGAGCAACAAAACCACAGCUGUGUUCCUAAUGAUGUUAGAGAGUGAGUCGAGGUGUACUGUCAUACUGUAUCAAGCUGCUUGUCUGGGGCAAAUUUGCUUACUGAUUGUUCUUUUCAUUGAUGGCUGAGUCUCACUUAUAUAUAGUUAGAGUGUAGUAGUAGUGCAGUGUAGCUCCAAACUCAAUUAUAGUAGUAUUUUUUUUUCUUUCUAUCUUUAUGACUUUUCACUGCUCUUGAUUCAUGUGCUUCAUUUAGCCCUAGCGCUUUAGGUGACUAUAUUCACUUGCUUGUUAUUGCAUCCUCCCUGUGUAUUCCAUCGGAUUCAAAAAUACACAAGAUAAGCGUUUAGGAGGGGAUCCUGACACAGCCAUGCAAUAAAUCAUCUGUGUGAAGCCGCUAUGUUAAAUUUUUGUUUGUCAGCGUGUUAGAGAGGCGAUGAUUAGAUUGUCUGGUCAAUUUUGAGGCAG
Molecule: long non-coding RNA, 1949 nt
Organism: Micropterus salmoides (largemouth bass)
Lineage: Eukaryota; Metazoa; Chordata; Actinopteri; Centrarchiformes; Centrarchidae
Exons: 3
Source: RefSeq, a predicted model, not a curated record